This 473-nucleotide long non-coding RNA is filed under the name Cyanistes caeruleus (blue tit). RNAcentral's name for it is "lncRNA (ENSCCEG00000003910.1)". Lineage: Eukaryota; Metazoa; Chordata; Aves; Passeriformes; Paridae. The record is from RNAcentral.
CAAUUCUUUGCCAUUGUCCUUUUUGCUUUUGUGCCCAGCUCUUAUUCAACACCAGUCCUGGAACCACUCAAUGAGACAUUUAAUGCUGUCCUUGCUCCCUGACAUUUCACAGCAGCACUUUUGUCAAGCCAUCUCUGCUCUGGCCAGAUAAAUCACAUUACACAGGGAGAAGGCAAAUCUACCCAACUACAGCACAAAUCUGGGGAAAAAACAAAUCAAUUGUAUGAAAGAGUCCUCAUGAAUGAAGACAAGGAACCAUUGGCCUGACUCACAUCUCAAUGCAUUUUCCAGUGAAGAGCUGUAAAGGACCUCAGAGGAAAAACCUGUCAAAUCAAGAAGAGAUUUUUAUUUUUUUUUAAUAGAAAUAUAGGUCUAAUUGUACAGCGUGAUUCUGGCAGCAAUUUUAGCUGAAAUUUAGAAAUUUCUAGCGAUUUGCACCUAACAUAAUAAACUUGUCCUUACUUUAAAGACCA